RNAcentral lists this ribosomal RNA (308 nucleotides) under Escherichia coli. Its description in RNAcentral is "partial 23S ribosomal RNA". It matches the Rfam family "Bacterial large subunit ribosomal RNA", at positions 104 to 452 of the family's 2925-position model. Lineage: Bacteria; Pseudomonadati; Pseudomonadota; Gammaproteobacteria; Enterobacterales; Enterobacteriaceae. The record is from RNAcentral.
CCGGCGAUUUCCGAAUGGGGAAACCCAGUGUGUUUCGACACACUAUCAUUAACUGAAUCCAUAGGUUAAUGAGGCGAACCGGGGGAACUGAAACAUCUAAGUACCCCGAGGAAAAGAAAUCAACCGAGAUUCCCCCAGUAGCGGCGAGCGAACGGGGAGGAGCCCAGAGCCUGAAUCAGUGUGUGUGUUAGUGGAAGCGUCUGGAAAGGCGCGCGAUACAGGGUGACAGCCCCGUACACAAAAAUGCACAUAUUGUGAGCUCGAUGAGUAGGGCGGGACACGUGGUAUCCUGUCUGAAUAUGGGGGGA